GAUGAACGCUGGCGGCGUGCCUAACACAUGCAAGUCGAGCGAUGAAGUUUCCUUCGGGAAACGGAUUAGCGGCGGACGGGUGAGUAACACGUGGGUAACCUGCCUCAUAAUGGGGGAUAGCCUUUCGAAAGGAAGAUUAAUACCGCAUAACAUCAUUAAAUGGCAUCAUUUAAUGAUCAAAGGAUUUAUUCGUUAUGAGAUGGACCCGCGUCGCAUUAGCUAGUUGGUAAGGUAAUGGCUUACCAAGGCGAAGAUGCGUAGCCGACCUGAGAGGGUGAUCGGCCACAUUGGGACUGAGACACGGCCCAGACUCCUACGGGAGGCAGCAGUGGGGAAUAUUGCACAAUGGGGGAAACCCUGAUGCAGCAACGCCGCGUGAGUGAUGACGGUCUUCGGAUUGUAAAGCUCUGUCUUUGGGGACGACAAUGACGGUACCCAAGGAGGAAGCCACGGCUAACUACGUGCCAGCCGCCGCCGUAA
This 480-nucleotide ribosomal RNA is filed under the name uncultured bacterium. Its description in RNAcentral is "partial 16S ribosomal RNA". It matches the Rfam family "Bacterial small subunit ribosomal RNA", at positions 28 to 523 of the family's 1533-position model. The record is from RNAcentral.